AGUGAACGCUGGCGGUAGGCCUAACACAUGCAAGUCGAACGGCCGCACAGUAAGAGCUUGCUCUUACGGGUGGCGAGUGGCGGACGGGUGAGGAAUACAUCGGAAUCUACUUUUUCGUGGGGGAUAACGUAGGGAAACUUACGCUAAUACCGCAUACGACCUACGGGUGAAAGCAGGGGAUCUUCGCACCUUGCGCGAUUGAAUGAGCCGAUGUCGGAUUAGCUAGUUGGCGGGGUAAAGGCCCACCAAGGCGACGAUCCGUAGCUGGUCUGAGAGGAUGAUCGGCCACACUGGAACUGAGACACGGUCCAGACUCCUACGGGAGGCAGCAGUGGGGAAUAUUGGACAAUGGGCGCAAGCCUGAUCCAGCCAUGCCGCGUGGGUGAAGAAGGCCUUCGGAUUGUAAAGCCCUGUUGUUGGGAAAGAAAAGCAGCAGGUUAAUCCCCCGCUGUUCUGACGGUACCCAAAGAAUAAGCACCGGCUAACUUCGUG
RNAcentral lists this ribosomal RNA (492 nucleotides) under uncultured bacterium. Its description in RNAcentral is "partial 16S ribosomal RNA". It matches the Rfam family "Bacterial small subunit ribosomal RNA", at positions 29 to 507 of the family's 1533-position model. The record is from RNAcentral.